This 311-nucleotide non-coding RNA is filed under the name Paenibacillus rhizosphaerae. RNAcentral's name for it is "T-box sequence". It matches the Rfam family "T-box leader". From Rfam's summary of the family: Uncharged tRNA acts as the effector for transcription antitermination of genes in the T-box leader family. T-boxes are found upstream of many aminoacyl-tRNA synthetase genes and some amino acid biosynthetic genes usually in Gram-positive bacteria. The record is from RNAcentral. Lineage: Bacteria; Bacillati; Bacillota; Bacilli; Caryophanales; Paenibacillaceae.
AUUUUCACGAUGAUGAAGAAGAGUACGCGCGAAUUGCGGCCUUACAGAGAGCCGGCGGGUGGUGCAAGCCGGUGGGGGCGCGCGCGGAAGUGGGCUUCGGAGUGCCCCGUCUGAACAGGAACGCUUCCCAAAGAAGCGGACAGUAGGAUGGGCGGCAGGUCCCCACCGUUAACCGGGGCAGGGUAUCGAGGAAGGCAUACGCAAUUUUCUUUUCGUUUAGCGCCGGAAUCCGUACCUGUUGAGCAGGGCUGCAUCCCUAGAGGAUGGCGGCCAAUCAAGGUGGCACCGCGGGCUAGAGCCCCGUCCUUGGA